This 29-nucleotide non-coding RNA is filed under the name Mus musculus (house mouse). The record is from RNAcentral. Lineage: Eukaryota; Metazoa; Chordata; Mammalia; Rodentia; Muridae.
UGAGAACUCAUUGUACUGGAUUCUAUUGA